This 354-nucleotide ribosomal RNA is filed under the name uncultured soil bacterium. RNAcentral describes it as "bacterial SSU rRNA". It matches the Rfam family "Bacterial small subunit ribosomal RNA", at positions 26 to 377 of the family's 1533-position model. The record is from RNAcentral.
AGAUUGAACGCUGGCGGCAUGCCUUACACAUGCAAGUCGAACGGCAGCACGGGGGCAACCCUGGUGGCGAGUGGCGAACGGGUGAGUAACAUAUCGGAACGUGCCCUGGAGUGGGGGAUAACUAGUCGAAAGAUUAGCUAAUACCGCAUACGAUCUACGGAUGAAAGUGGGGGAUCGCAAGACCUCAUGCUCGUGGAGCGGCCGAUAUCUGAUUAGCGUAGUUGGGUGGGUAAAGGCCUAACCGAAGGCAUCGAUCAGUAGCUGGUCUGAGAGGACGACCAGCCACACUGGGACUGGAGACGACCGGCCCAGACUCCGUAGGAGGCAGCAGGUGGGAACUUUGGACAAGUGGCG